UAGGACUGGGAGGUGGGGGAGGGGCUCAGGACAAGCUUCCUGAUUCGUGUGGAGCAGGCUCUGCAGGGCCACACUGUCCCCUCCCUGCCUUCCUGCUCCAGAUCAAAUCCUUGGAGUCUGGCAGCUGAGAGGGCUCUGAAGGAGGAGCUGCUGUCCCAUGCUCCUUUGACAUUCCCCCUGUACCCUCAAGUUCUCCAGAGCUCUCCCUUCUCUUUGCUCCUGCAGCAUCUCCCUUUGUUCAGUCUCCAGUGGAAAGGCAGACGCCCCCCAGUUCCACUCUCCGUUCUUGUCUGGAACGGGAGGCAGAGCCUUUCCACGUCGCCAGGCCUGCUGCUGCUGACCACAACCAGAGCCCUGCCCAAGCACGGAUACAGCUGGGGGAGGCCAAGGCGAGGCCAAGGCGGCACCCCUGCUAGCAAGACCAGGAAAAGCCGGGAUGGGGCCAUGGAGAUGAAAACUACCGAUUUGUCAGGGUCUCCACAGAGAACAGGAAAGCAAGGAAAGUUGAGAUGUGACGUGAUCGAAACCAGGCUUCCCAGGGCUGCGUGUGCCCACACCCACACACCCUGGGCCACGUGCACACGCACGCGCACACGCAGGCUCCCCAGAUCCUGAGCCUACUCACACACACCGAGGGUCCUCGGUUCCGCGGGCAAGGACCCUUCAGCUACCCUGCCACCGGCUAGGACAGGGUGAGCUGCGAGGGUUGAGGGCCACAGGGUAGGUGUCACAGACCUACCGAAGGCUUGAAGUUGGGAACAGCUGAAGUGGUCUCGAUUUCCCUGGAUGCCCCCACCCUUGUUGCCCAUCUGUUUGGUCUAUUUCCCUCCCAGGAAAGAAUGGAGAAUCAGCCUUUUUUCUCAUUUCCCACACAGGGGAAGGGGUAGAGGUUGUGACACAUGUGUCUCCAGCACCCAGGCUGGGCUCAGGAAAUGUUUGCUGAAGGGACGGAUGGGGUUAGCUCUCAGGACUACUUCCUGGGCCUGAGGGGCAGGAGACAACAGAAGCAGGUAGACGUGGAACAGAACAGGACAGCCUUCCCCCUGGCUGCAUGGCUGGAGGCAUCUCGAGAUUCUCUCUCUCUGUCAGCCCAGGCCUGGGGCAAUCAGCAAGGCUGUCCCAGAAGAAAAGCAACAGAGCUCAGACUCUACAGGAGAGAGGCCACGUCAGAGGGCACCUCUGCCACCUUGGACACCUUUGCGGGUCAGGCCUGAUCCUCCGCAAUGAUGUCCACCCAUGCCCUUGCUCGCACCCCCAGCCCGGGCCGGCCCAGGCCCUGCUCCACCCUGAUGCCCAAAGCUCUCCCUGGGAGGCACCAGGUAAAAGACAUGAAUGGAUCUCCAGCAAGAAAGAGGAAUGUUAGAAGGAGAGGGGGCUUCCUGGUGAUGAGAGGAGUGCCACUGGUGUCUCUGAAAUGCAUCCCAACUGGAUCCCAGCAGCCGCCAUUCCUCAGCUAUCACAGCAGGCAAGCUUCUCUUCAGGAAGAAAAGUAAUAGUAACAGCCCUUAGAUGACACUUAGGGUGUCCCAGGCACAUUGUUCCAAGUGCUUUAUAUUUACUGAUUUGUUUAACCCUCAGCACCACCCUAUGAUGUAGGUUCUACCAUUACCUCCAAAUAAAGACAAGGGAACCAGGGCACCAAGAGAGAAAAUGGGUUGCCUAAUGCCACACAGCUAGAAAGAGGUCUCCAUGAGGCUGGGGUCCCGUGAGACUGGGGUCCCUGGCAGGCUGGUUCCUGAGUCCUGACUUUAACCCCCACACCAAAUGCUCCCUGUGGGAAUGGGAGGAGUUGUUAAGCCUGACUUUCUUCCUCUUAUGUCUUCAUUUGAGCCCCGUGUGAGAGAUGGCCUUUCAACUGCUUGUUUCUCUGUUGAACCACCUUCCAUCCUUCCUUAGUCUGGGUUUGAGUGUGUGUGUGUGUAAAUACAAUUACACUUCAUGAUAUGGAUGCCCAGGUCCCCCCAGUUGGGCCACUAAGAUGGGGGUGGGGUGGGAGAUGGUAGAGGACCCAGUACUGGGUGGUCAGAACACGUGAUGGCAGUGCCAGGGAACCAGGAGUGCAAACACAUCUGGAAAGUAACUUUCUACUCCCUACUCCACCCUCACUGCUCCUUUUCUUCCCUCCUAA
Molecule: long non-coding RNA, 2128 nt
Organism: Canis lupus familiaris (dog)
Lineage: Eukaryota; Metazoa; Chordata; Mammalia; Carnivora; Canidae
Exons: 4
Source: RefSeq, a predicted model, not a curated record